AUGGAGGGAAAACAACAAUGGGACAUGGUGGACCCUGGAUUCAAGCUUUGCGCUCCAGUUCUGAAGAGAGCAGCAGGUAGACCAAGGAAGAGUCGAAUCAGACCUCACAACGAAGGAGCUGGACUUGGAGCUAGGAAGCAUAAGUGCACAAGAUGUGGUGGGUCUGGUCAUUUCGGUAAGUAUUGUGAUAACACAGUAGAUCCAGCGUUCGGAGAGAGUUUCGAUGAAGGCUUCGAUGAAAAUGUUGGUCAGCAGCCGGUUGCCUCAACAGAUGAUGAAAAUGAUGGACAUCAGCCGGUUGCAUCAGAUGAGGAUUUUGACGAGGUUCGAAAUGAUGAUGGUCAACAGCCGCAUGAUUUUGACGACAAUCCAAAAUAUCCUCCAAAUAAUGAUUCAAGUGAGGCUCCAAAUGGUGAUCCAAGUGAGGCUCCAAAUAGUAAUCAUGGUGAUCCAAGUGAGGCUCCAAAUGAUGAUCAUGGUGAUCCAAGUGAGGCUCCAAAUGAUGAUCAUGGUGAUCCAAGUGAGGCUCCAAAUGAUGAUCCAAGUGAGGCUCCAAAUGGUGACCAACCUUCUGUUGUUGUGAGUUCUGCUAGGUAUGUAAAUCUUGCAAGGGUCAAAUACUACUGUACAUUUAUGCGUCACUUGACAUGA
RNAcentral lists this ribosomal RNA (651 nucleotides) under Triticum aestivum (bread wheat). RNAcentral describes it as "partial small subunit ribosomal RNA". Lineage: Eukaryota; Viridiplantae; Streptophyta; Magnoliopsida; Poales; Poaceae. The record is from RNAcentral.